Molecule: ribosomal RNA, 471 nt
Filed under: uncultured bacterium
Lineage: Bacteria
Description: bacterial SSU rRNA
Rfam family: Bacterial small subunit ribosomal RNA
Source: RNAcentral
UGAACGGCUAGCGGCAGGCUUAACACAUGCAAGUCNGGGUAUGUUUCGGACCAAGAGACCGGCGCACGGGUGCGUAACGCGUAUGCAAUCUACCUUUUGCAGAGGGAUAGCCCAGAGAAAUUUGGAUUAAUACCUCAUAGUAUAGUACUUUGGCAUCAAGGAACUAUUAAAGUCACAACGGCAAAAGAUGAGCAUGCGUCCCAUUAGCUAGUUGGUAAGGUAACGGCUUACCAAGGCUACGAUGGGUAGGGGUCCUGAGAGGGAGAUCCCCCACACUGGUACUGAGACACGGACCAGACUCCUACGGGAGGCAGCAGUGAGGAAUAUUGGACAAUGGGCGCAAGCCUGAUCCAGCCAUGCCGCGUGCAGGAUGACGGUCCUAUGGAUUGUAAACUGCUUUAUACAGGAAGAAACACUCCGACGUGUCGGAGCUUGACGGUACUGUAAGAAUAAGGAUCGGCUAACUCCGUG